This 308-nucleotide non-coding RNA is filed under the name uncultured fungus. RNAcentral's name for it is "eukaryotic LSU rRNA". The stretch from base 1 to 52 matches the Rfam family "5.8S ribosomal RNA", at positions 103 to 154 of the family's 154-position model. Lineage: Eukaryota; Fungi. The record is from RNAcentral. RNAcentral also lists the same sequence under 1 other name.
AACGCACCUUGCGCUCCUUGGUAUUCCGAGGAGCAUGCCUGUUUGAGUGUCAUUAAAUUCUCAACCUUAUCAGUUUUUUAUUAAAUUGGUUCAAGGCUUGGAUUUUGGGAGUUGCAGGCUUCUCUUUUGAAGUCAGCUCUUCUUAAAUGUAUUAGUGGAGACUUGUAACCGUCGCCUUGGUGUGAUAAUUAUCUGCGCCUUGGUGUAUUGGUGACUAGUAAUGUCUUUGCUUAUAACAGUCCAUUAGAUUGGACAAUCACUUUAUGACUUUUGACCUCAAAUCAGGUAGGACUACCCGCUGAACUUAA